Molecule: ribosomal RNA, 466 nt
Filed under: Acinetobacter sp. oral taxon C51
Lineage: Bacteria; Pseudomonadati; Pseudomonadota; Gammaproteobacteria; Moraxellales; Moraxellaceae
Description: bacterial SSU rRNA
Rfam family: Bacterial small subunit ribosomal RNA
Source: RNAcentral
AUUGAACGCUGGCGGCAGGCUUAACACAUGCAAGUCGAGCGGAGCGAGGGUGCUUGCACCUUAGCUUAGCGGCGGACGGGUGAGUAAUGCUUAGGAAUCUGCCUAUUAGUGGGGGACAACAUUCCGAAAGGGAUGCUAAUACCGCAUACGCCCUACGGGGGAAAGCAGGGGAUCUUCGGACCUUGCGCUAAUAGAUGAGCCUAAGUCGGAUUAGCUAGUUGGUGGGGUAAAGGCCUACCAAGGCGACGAUCUGUAGCGGGUCUGAGAGGAUGAUCCGCCACACUGGGACUGAGACACGGCCCAGACUCCUACGGGAGGCAGCAGUGGGGAAUAUUGGACAAUGGGGGGAACCCUGAUCCAGCCAUGCCGCGUGUGUGAAGAAGGCCUUUUGGUUGUAAAGCACUUUAAGCGAGGAGGAGGCGCUCUAGGAUAAUACCCUAGAUGCGUGGACGUACUCGCAGAUAGC